RNAcentral lists this ribosomal RNA (501 nucleotides) under uncultured bacterium. RNAcentral's name for it is "partial 16S ribosomal RNA". It matches the Rfam family "Bacterial small subunit ribosomal RNA", at positions 30 to 523 of the family's 1533-position model. The record is from RNAcentral.
AUUGAACGCUGGCGGCAUGCUUUACACAUGCAAGUCGAACGGUAACAGGGUGCUUGCACCGCUGACGAGUGGCGAACGGGUGAGUAAUGCGUCGGAACGUGCCGAGUAGUGGGGGAUAACGCAGCGAAAGUUGUGCUAAUACCGCAUACGUACUGAGGUAGAAAGUGGGGGACCUUCGGGCCUCACGCUAUUCGAGCGGCCGACGUCUGAUUAGCUAGUAGGUGAGGUAAAGGCUCACCUAGGCGACGAUCAGUAGCGGGUCUGAGAGGAUGAUCCGCCACACUGGGACUGAGACACGGCCCAGACUCCUACGGGAGGCAGCAGUGGGGAAUUUUGGACAAUGGGCGAAAGCCUGAUCCAGCCAUGCCGCGUGUGUGAAGAAGGCCUUUUGGUUGUAAAGCACUUUAAGCGAGGAGGAGGCUACUAGUACUAAUACUACUGGAUAGUGGACGUUACUCGCAGAAUAAGCACCGGCUAACUCUGUGCCAGCCGCCGCCGUAA